GACGUAGGGCGCGAGCGUUGUCCGGAUUUAUUGGGCGUAAAGAGCUCGUAGGCGGCUUGUUGCGUCGACUGUGAAAACCCGCGGCUUAACUGCGGGCUUGCAGUUGAUACGGGCAGGCUAGAGUUCGGUAGGGGAGACUGGAAUUCCUGGUGUAGCGGUGAAAUGCGCAGAUAUCAGGAGGAACACCGGUGGCGAAGGCGGGUCUCUGGGCCGAUACUGACGCUGAGGUGCGAAAGCGUGGGUAGCAAACAGG
This 253-nucleotide ribosomal RNA is filed under the name uncultured bacterium. RNAcentral's name for it is "partial 16S ribosomal RNA". It matches the Rfam family "Bacterial small subunit ribosomal RNA", at positions 524 to 776 of the family's 1533-position model. The record is from RNAcentral.